GUCUAUGACCAUAGGAUCCUGUAUGUGGCUGGCCUUCAUCUGAUCUCAGGAGCUAAGCAGGGUCGGGUUUAGUUAGUACUUAAGUGGGAGAAAGUUAACACUUAAGCA
Molecule: ribosomal RNA, 108 nt
Filed under: Nannospalax galili (Upper Galilee mountains blind mole rat)
Lineage: Eukaryota; Metazoa; Chordata; Mammalia; Rodentia; Spalacidae
Source: RNAcentral